Molecule: long non-coding RNA, 590 nt
Filed under: Olea europaea subsp. europaea
Lineage: Eukaryota; Viridiplantae; Streptophyta; Magnoliopsida; Lamiales; Oleaceae
Source: RNAcentral
AGAACCUGGUGGAGGUUUAAAGACACAUACAUAAACACGCCGACGGCUGCCUAGGAUUGGGAAGACAAAUUUAAAUAAGGCAAUUUGGAUUUGGUUGCUGAAUUUCAUUAUACAAAUUACAAGAGAUCGGCAUCUGUUGGGAGAUAAACAUUGUGGCUGCUGAAUUGUAUCAUAUAUACAUGAACAAAAAGCUGGUUGGGAUUGGAGAAACGACUGAACAGACUGGAAGGCGGCACGCACUAUUGGAGUUAUUCAUCUUCUAUCAAUUUUUGAUGAUGUCGUUCCACUUCUAUUUAUUUAAUUCCAACAGUAUGCUAAGUUAAUUCCUCCUUUGUAUUGGAUGAGACAAACCCUAUUGUUUAUUUAUUUCUAAUUCAAAACAAGUAAUUUAGUUUAAUUCGUGUGUUUCUUGAUUAAUUUUGCAUUUCCAUUGCAUAUUAAAUUUUUUGGCCAUCAAUUGAAUAGUUAGUUGCUUGUUGUAGUGUAGGAAUACUCAUAACGAAGUCUAGAACGUGGCAAAAUUAACAUGUAUAGUUAGGAUUAGGAAUAAUAUCUAUCAUACAUGCAAUCAUAUUGAUAACUUAAACUAA